CCAAGAUGGCCGAAUAGGAACAGCUCCGGUCUACAGCUCCCAGCGUGAGCGAUGCAGAAGACGGGUGAUUUCUGCAUUUCCAUCUGAGGUACCGUGUUCAUCUCACUAGGGAGUGCCAGACAGUGGGCUCAGGAACUCAUUAUACAAUGACAAAUGGAGGCAGCAUUAACAGUUCUACACAUUUACUGGAUCUUUUGGGUGAACCAAUUCCAGGUGUUGGUACAUAUGAUGAUUUCCAUACUAUUGACUGGGUGCAAGAAAAAUGUAAAGACAGAGAAAGGCAUAGAUGGCUUCCAUGAUGGAAGAUUAUGUUCAGAAGACCACAAAAUUAAAUUUUGUGUAGAGAAUAGAG
Pongo pygmaeus (Bornean orangutan) is the source of this 352-nucleotide long non-coding RNA. RefSeq lists it as uncharacterized. NCBI's taxonomy places the organism in Eukaryota, Metazoa, Chordata, Mammalia, Primates, Hominidae. The transcript has 3 exons. The record is from RefSeq and is a predicted model, not a curated record.